Molecule: ribosomal RNA, 494 nt
Filed under: uncultured bacterium
Lineage: Bacteria
Description: partial 16S ribosomal RNA
Rfam family: Bacterial small subunit ribosomal RNA
Source: RNAcentral
GACGAACGCUGGCGGCGUGCUUAACACAUGCAAGUCGAACGGUGAAGCGCCUUCCUUUUUGGUGGGUGUGGAUGAGUGGCGAACGGGUGAGUAACACGUGAGUAACCUGCCCCCUUCUUCUGGAUAACCGCAUGAAAGUGUGGCUAAUACGGGAUAUUCUGGGUCUGUCGCAUGAUGGGUCUGGGAAAGAUAUUGUUUCGGUGGGGGAUGGGCUCGCGGCCUAUCAGCUUGUUGGUGGGGUGAUGGCCUACCAAGGCGGUCACGGGUAGCCGGCCUGAGAGGGUGGACGGUCACACUGGGACUGAGACACGGCCCAGACUCCUACGGGAGGCAGCAGUGGGGAAUAUUGCACAAUGGGCGCAAGCCUGAUGCAGCGACGCCGCGUGAGGGAUGGAGGCCUUCGGGUUGUGAACCUCUUUCGCCAGUGAAGCAGGCCUGCCUCGUUUGUGGGUGGGUUGACGGUAGCUGGAUAAGAAGCGCCGGCUAACUACGUG